GGGGAAUAUUGCACAAUGGGCGAAAGCCUGAUGCAGCGACGCCGCGUGAGCGAAGAAGUAUUUCGGUAUGUAAAGCUCUAUCAGCAGGGAAGAAAAUGACGGUACCUGACUAAGAAGCACCUGCUAAAUACGUGCCAGCAGCCGCGGUAAUACGUAUGGUGCAAGCGUUAUCCGGAUUUACUGGGUGUAAAGGGAGCGUAGACGGUUGUGUAAGUCUGAUGUGAAAACCCGGGGCUCAACCCCGGGACUGCAUUGGAAACUAUGCAGCUAGAGUGCCGGAGAGGUAAGCGGAAUUCCUAGUGUAGCGGUGAAAUGCGUAGAUAUUAGGAGGAACACCAGUGGCGAAGGCGGCUUGCUGGACGACAACUGACGCUGAGGCGCGAAAGCGUGGGGAGCAAACAGG
RNAcentral lists this ribosomal RNA (403 nucleotides) under uncultured bacterium. RNAcentral describes it as "bacterial SSU rRNA". It matches the Rfam family "Bacterial small subunit ribosomal RNA", at positions 356 to 776 of the family's 1533-position model. The record is from RNAcentral.